GCAGAAGAAUCACAGCUGAUGAACACAUGUAGUCGACACAUGAUUUUUAUUCUCGGCCUUCUCUCGUGACAAAACUCCUCCUCUGCUCAACUCUUUCUGAUUCAUGUCUACAUUGAUAGAUACGAUACUUUUAUAAACCCUCGUCAGAUCAGACAGGAACUGUGCUUCUUCUCUUCCAAAACAUGUCUCAACAUGGCCUAAGCAGUUUGAUUGCAUCCACA
Molecule: long non-coding RNA, 221 nt
Filed under: Musa acuminata (dwarf banana)
Lineage: Eukaryota; Viridiplantae; Streptophyta; Magnoliopsida; Zingiberales; Musaceae
Description: long non-coding RNA (MACU_LNC005149)
Source: RNAcentral